Molecule: non-coding RNA, 832 nt
Organism: Camelina sativa (false flax)
Lineage: Eukaryota; Viridiplantae; Streptophyta; Magnoliopsida; Brassicales; Brassicaceae
Source: RefSeq, a predicted model, not a curated record
CCUCUUAUGAAACAAAUCGGGAAGGAGAUUUUAUGACGCGACGACGGCGGAGCGAUUGCGAUCAGCCGUCACUCUCGUCGACGUUUUGGUGGAGGCUUCCUUAAUCAAGUAGCUCCAGGUGAUCUUUUCAUUUGUGCUUCUUUUUUUUUUUUUUUUUCUCGUGAUUGCAUAAGCAAUAAUAAUACAAUCAUGGAAUGAGAUUUAUCUAUUGAAUUUGAUUCUAGGAUUUAGGGGUUUAGUAACUCUUGGAUUGAUAUUUUAGGGUUUUACCUCUCUCUUAAUGAUAUCUUUACAGAUUAAGAACUGUUACUUGUUGAAUCUUUUUUUUGUUUUCUUUUUUGGUUUCAAGCAUUUGAGGCAGAGCAUCACAGUUCAACAACGCCAAGUUUCACUAUAAUCAUGUAAGCUCUGAGACUCUUAUGGCCCGUGAAGGCGUUGUUUGAUAAGUUGAGCGCAAUCAAUUCCUUCAAGAGACCAAUGGACUCAGGAAUCUGUCCUUCAAGUUUGUUUCCAGAGAAAUCAAUGGUGCUGUAGGAAGCUUCCAAUAAAGCUGCUAUCGGACAGUUCAAGUAUCCGCAGCUCGGGAAACGCAAGAGGACCUUGAUCAGGAGGAGAGAGAUGGCCGAAGAAUCUGUUUGAACGGAGAGUAAAGACAUGCAAAUUGGGUAGAGCCUUCAGCCAGAAAGGAAACGUUCUAUUGAUGUCCUCUGGCUGAAGACAUGCGACAUGUUGUUUGAGAUUUUGAACAAGGUGACGAAAUUAUUGAAGCAAGCCGAGAGACAUAUCAAAAAAACGAACAAAUAAGAAACGUGAACAAGAAAAUCAACUUUCA